Episyrphus balteatus (marmalade hoverfly) is the source of this 1161-nucleotide long non-coding RNA. RefSeq lists it as uncharacterized. The transcript has 3 exons. The record is from RefSeq and is a predicted model, not a curated record. Lineage: Eukaryota; Metazoa; Arthropoda; Insecta; Diptera; Syrphidae.
UUUUAUACAAUUUUUACACCAUCUGAAAGCUUAUUGCAAAGAUCAUAUAACUAGUAAAGAUGUCGCACGUAGAACAAACUUCUGUGCUUGAAAUUUUCUACCAUCAGAUUUUACCCAUAGGUCCAAAACAUGUAUCCAAGAAUUAAAUUGUUGAGAAACAUUUUAAAAUUUUUCGAUGACUGCGUAGAAAAGAGAGGGUUGAUUUGUAUAGAUGAAUUUAUUUAAUGGGAGGAAGCGAGAUAGUAGUAAAAUGUUGAUACGAAUAAGGAAAAGAAAAAAAAUACAUUUGUCUGCGAGAAUGUACCUAUGAAAUAAUUUUUUUUUUUGUUAAAUUAUUCAGGAAACUGAUAUUAACACAUGAUUCAAAAUAAUAAUUUAAAUAAGAAUAAUUUUAGAUAUAUAUAUAUGACAAGAGUGUAUGAGCAAAAUUGUGUGAAAAUGAAUUUCAACCCUCAAAUUGUCAAUAGGUCCAAAUCAUUAUAAUGCAGAAAUCCUUCGCAACAUUAAAAAAAAGUUCUUAUCAUGAGUGGGAAAGAGAGAGUUAUUUUUAAUAGAUUUCUUAAAUGCGAAGGACCGAGAUGUAAGUUGAAUAGGAACAAAUGAAAACAAAAAGGAUCGUUUUGCCGUGCGGGUAUAUAUUUUUUUUCACAACUGGAUUGCUUCGCACAAGCAGGGCGAAGACGAGAUGGCUAGUUUUAAAGAUUGAUGAAAAAAAGAAGCAAAAACAACUUUUGCAAGUGACUGGUGUGCUUGAGGUGGGUAGGUAUAGGUAGGUAUACGUGUAAGCAGAAGAAGGUUGAUAAGUUUUUUUUGGUUUUAAUUUUUUUUCGAUGGUAGUUGGAUAUUUAGAUAUUUUUUUAAGCGGAGGGUGGUUUUCUAUUUCUAUAUUUUUGUUUCCUUUUUGAAUAAUCGCAAAGGCACAGGCGCAUUGCUUUUAGGUGUAAGUACACACGUAAUAGGUAUGUAGGUAGGAUUUUUUUUUCCUUUGCGACAGCAAUCGUCCUUGAAAAAUGUAGUUCAUAGUAUUUUGGUUGGAAAAAGAAAUUCAAACAAGUGGUAGGUAGGUAGGUAGGUAGGAAGUGAUAAAAAUGAUCAUUCUUGGUUUGUUGUUAUUUUCUUUAGUGAGGUAGGUUAUGUAGGUAUCUAUUGAUAUUGAAAGAU